UACGUAGGGGGCAAGCGUUACUCGGAUUUACUGGGCGUAAAGCGCGUGUAGGCGGCUGGUCAAGCGUGAUGUGAAAUCUCCGGGCUCAACCCGGAAACUGCAUCGCGAACUGGCCUGGCUAGAGUGCAGGAGAGGGCGGCGGAAUUCCCGGUGUAGCGGUGAGAUGCGUAGAUAUCGGGAGGAACACCAGUGGCGAAGGCGGCCGCCUGGCCUGUAACUGACGCUGAGACGCGAAAGCGUGGGGAGCGAACCGG
RNAcentral lists this ribosomal RNA (254 nucleotides) under uncultured bacterium. RNAcentral describes it as "partial 16S ribosomal RNA". It matches the Rfam family "Bacterial small subunit ribosomal RNA", at positions 524 to 776 of the family's 1533-position model. The record is from RNAcentral.